This 468-nucleotide ribosomal RNA is filed under the name uncultured bacterium. RNAcentral describes it as "partial 16S ribosomal RNA". It matches the Rfam family "Bacterial small subunit ribosomal RNA", at positions 28 to 507 of the family's 1533-position model. The record is from RNAcentral.
GACGAACGCUGGCGGCGUGCUUAACACAUGCAAGUCGAACGGAAAGGCCCUGCUUUUGUGGGGUGCUCGAGUGGCGAACGGGUGAGUAACACGUGAGUAACCUGCCCUUUACUUUGGGAUAACUUCAGGAAACUGGGGCUAAUACCGGAUAGGAGCUCCUGCUGCAUGGUGGGGGUUGGAAAGUUUCGGCGGUUGGGGAUGGACUCGCGGCUUAUCAGCUUGUUGGUGGGGUAGUGGCUUACCAAGGCUUUGACGGGUAGCCGGCCUGGGAGGGUGACCGGCCACAUUGGGACGGAGAAACGGCCCAACCUCCUACGGGAGGCAGCAGUGGGGAAUAUUGCACAAGGGGCGGAAGCCUGAUGCAGCAACGCCGCGUGCGGGAUGACGGCCUUCGGGUUGUAAACCGCUUUCGCCUGUGACGAAGCGUGAGUGACGGUAAUGGGUAAAGAAGCACCGGCUAACUACGUG